AUCUUCCGUAUUGUUAGAUGUUUCAGAGACAACAGGAACUGCAGAUGCUGGAGAAUCUGAGAUAACAAGAGAUAGCAGGAACUGCAGAUGCUGGAGAAUCUGAGAUAACAAGGUGUAGAGCUGGAUGAACACAGCAGGCCAAGCAGCAUCAGAGGAGCAGGAUGGCUGACAUUUCGGGCCUUGACCCUUCUUCAGAAUCCAGAAUCAUUUCUGAAGAAUGAUUCCAUACCACAGCCAUAGAUGCUGCCAGACCUGCGACCUUGUUUUUGUUCCUUAACAAUCCUGUGAGAGCAGGAGCAGGCACACCCAUUCAAGGCUGUUAAAAAUCAAAGUCUCCCAAGCUAUUUACUCAAGUGAUCUUUGCAAGCUAACACUUCUGACUAACAACUGCUCUUCAAAAUAACAGGACAAAUAAGUCGUUAAAACCCACAGCAUCGGCUCACCUCCCCCUUAAAAAAGGAUCUCCAAUAUACAAAGAUGACUGUUUCUAAAAAGGAUCUUUUGUCUUACUCUAUCAGUGCACGGCAGUACAUGCGCAUUACAUAUACAUCAAAGUUUUGACAAUAAAUCAGCAAUUAUGUACUCUCAUCCUGUCACGUGGGUAAGUUCCAUUUGAAUGGCUACGAUUAUAAACUCCAACUAAACAGUGUGGAAUUUUUGUUCUUAAAUUUCUCCAAAAACAA
This is a long non-coding RNA of Stegostoma tigrinum, 683 nucleotides long. RefSeq lists it as uncharacterized. The transcript has 3 exons. The record is from RefSeq and is a predicted model, not a curated record. Lineage: Eukaryota; Metazoa; Chordata; Chondrichthyes; Orectolobiformes; Stegostomatidae.